UACUACAGCAAAAGGAAGGAAGACGCAGA
This 29-nucleotide non-coding RNA is filed under the name Rattus norvegicus (Norway rat). The record is from RNAcentral. Lineage: Eukaryota; Metazoa; Chordata; Mammalia; Rodentia; Muridae.